This is a long non-coding RNA of Brassica napus (rape), 919 nucleotides long. RefSeq lists it as uncharacterized. NCBI's taxonomy places the organism in Eukaryota, Viridiplantae, Streptophyta, Magnoliopsida, Brassicales, Brassicaceae. The record is from RefSeq and is a predicted model, not a curated record. The transcript is spliced from 2 exons.
GAAGGACCAGAUCACUGCCAGCUUUCCGACAUUCCACAUGAACCUUGAGGACAAGGUUCUUUCUGAGGAUGGGAGUGUUGAUAGGAUACAAGAAGACUCGCUAGUUAACGUUGAAGCGGCGCUAAGGAAAUCAACAAGACCACGUAAACCAAACAGCAAAUAUCUUUAAAAAGAUAUAUCUUUUAUUUAGUUUGUUUCAGUAGUUAAAUAAGGGGAACACUUCUUACGUAACGUUCUCCACCUUUCCCAUGUUUCCAGCAUUGUAGGAGUCAAUGACUCCAUCUCAUGUUUCUGUUAUUUACUUCAUGUACUUUCCUAUUUAAAGAAAUGAAAAAGACAAAAAGAGGUAGACUUUCUACCCAAAAACUACUUGUGUUCUUAUUACUUGUGAUCAAUAUUGAUAUCUCUUGGCAAGGGACCUAUCAUCGUCUGUGCAAUCCAGUUUUGGAUGGGAAUCCGAAAUAGCUUUCCCAAAGGUUCUUGGAGAUGUGAUAGAGUCUUUAGCUGGUGCGAUACAUGUUGACUCGGGUUACGACAAGGAAGUAGUGUUUGCGUGUAUAAAACCGCUUUUGGGAUGUAUGAUAACUCCAGAGACUGUGAAGCUGCAUCCUGUGAGAGAGUUGACAGAACUUUGCCAGAAAGCUCAGUUCGAGUUGACUAAAGCUAAAGGCUUCGAGAAUGGUGAAGCUUACUUCACGGUUGAGGUGGAAGCUAAGGAAAUGAGUUUUGCUCACACAGCAAAGGCCUCUGAUAAGAAGACGGCUAAGAAGUUGGCUUACAAAGAAGUCUUGAAUUCACUUAAGAAGUCUUGACUCCUAAAUUUCUCAUUAUUGUGGAAUCGAAUAAAACUCUAUUAAAGAUCUUUCAGAUGAUUAAUAUUCUGUUUUGGUUUAUUUUGGAAAAAUUAACAUUUUUGGUU